CAGCGACGCCGCGUGAGGGAUGACGGCCUUCGGGUUGUAAACCUCUUUCACCAGGGACGAAGCGUGAGUGACGGUACCUGGAGAAGAAGCACCGGCCAACUACGUGCCAGCAGCCGCGGUAAUACGUAGGGUGCGAGCGUUGUCCGGAAUUACUGGGCGUAAAGAGCUCGUAGGCGGUUUGUCGCGUCGUCUGUGAAAUUCUGCAACUCAAUUGCAGGCGUGCAGGCGAUACGGGCAGACUUGAGUACUACAGGGGAGACUGGAAUUCCUGGUGUAGCGGUGAAAUGCGCAGAUAUCAGGAGGAACACCGGUGGCGAAGGCGGGUCUCUGGGUAGUAACUGACGCUGAGGAGCGAAAGCGUGGGUAGCGAACAGGAUUAGAUACCCUGGUAGUCCACGCC
This 400-nucleotide ribosomal RNA is filed under the name Gordonia terrae. RNAcentral describes it as "bacterial SSU rRNA". It matches the Rfam family "Bacterial small subunit ribosomal RNA", at positions 389 to 801 of the family's 1533-position model. Lineage: Bacteria; Bacillati; Actinomycetota; Actinomycetes; Mycobacteriales; Gordoniaceae. The record is from RNAcentral.